RNAcentral lists this unclassified non-coding RNA (220 nucleotides) under Hevea brasiliensis (rubber tree). Lineage: Eukaryota; Viridiplantae; Streptophyta; Magnoliopsida; Malpighiales; Euphorbiaceae. The record is from RNAcentral.
AUGUCCGGGCCGAUUUCGGAGAAAGUGAUUUUCUUCUCCGUCAUGUCUCCGGUCGAGGCGAAACCCUUUGCGCUCAUUUUGCGUCCUUUUCUGAAUUCGUUUUGCCGCUGGCGCUUCGCCAGCGCAAUCGCUUCGCGCAGCACCUCAACAUCACCGAUAUGAUUGGCCAGAAUCAAAACCAGCGCCGUAUCCAGCGAUACGCUGUCCUCAUCGCGGAGGC